RNAcentral lists this long non-coding RNA (1087 nucleotides) under Anser brachyrhynchus (Pink-footed goose). RNAcentral's name for it is "lncRNA (ENSABRG00000009356.1)". Lineage: Eukaryota; Metazoa; Chordata; Aves; Anseriformes; Anatidae. The record is from RNAcentral.
CGAGAGCAUGCGGUGGUGAAAGAGGAGGCUACGAGAUGCCGCCCGGUGUUACGAUCGGCAGCAAAUGACCACCUCGCUGUUGCUCCUAGCUGGCUUGUACCAAAAAGAUAUAAACCCUGGGCAAUGCUGUGCGGUUACUAGUGAUGGAGAUUAUGGGGACACUGCAGCUUUCUUCUCCAAUCUCAUGUGAAUAAAUCCAGGAAACUUUGUUUCCUUUUCCUGAGCAAUACCUCUGGGCUCUACGUUGUUCGCACCCAUCCCGAGAGACGGCCCGAGCCUCUGAAUUAACAAAGUUUUCAUUUCCUUCUGCUUUCUGACCCCAGGUCAGCCAAGACCAGCCAUGCAUUGUGCUGGGGAGAUUGCUCUGUCCAAGAUUGUGCUUCAGAUAAGAGUUUGGAUGAUUAUGAUUAAUACGACUGCUUUAUUUGUCUGACAGGUGGACUGAUAAAUAGAUAUUGUUGCUAGGACUACGUUCCUUCCUGAUAUGAUAAACAGUACAGACAGCCUGAAAUGCUGGUGUUUCUUGGAGAUCCGUGAAACCAGAGGUCAGGGCAGCGUGUACCUUGCCCUUUGAUUGUACUUGGAUAAAGGACUUCAGUCCUUUAAGUGAACAGUGAUGAUUUCAUCAGGACCUGACAUGUCCCUAGUUUCCAGUAAGGAAAACAAACAAAACCUCACAGUUUGAGAAUACAGCCCAGACAUGCUGAAUGCUCAUAAAAGGGCAGAAUACACAGAUCCAAUAGAAAAAGUAGCUUAAAAUGUCACCAGAAACUGUUACGAUCUUUGGCGAGAUUCUUUUCCCCCUUUAUCUGAUCUGCAUUUUUUGUUCUUUCUGUCUUUACCUUACAGGAACAGAAGAAUUUUUGGAAUUCGUCCGCAAGCAGAUACCGUGCCUGAAGCUGCCUGAACUCCCCCUGGCUGCUGCGUUUCCCAUGAACCAGGAAAACUUGGAUUAACUUCAGUCACAGCUUGCUUGAGCAAAGUCAGAUAAAAAACAUCAAACCCUGGUUCUGAGAACUUCCAUACAGGUGACUGCACAUUGGAGGAGAAGGGACUGUCCUGUUACUGCUCCCAGAGGUAUUUGCAA